RNAcentral lists this ribosomal RNA (493 nucleotides) under uncultured bacterium. RNAcentral's name for it is "bacterial SSU rRNA". It matches the Rfam family "Bacterial small subunit ribosomal RNA", at positions 28 to 502 of the family's 1533-position model. The record is from RNAcentral.
GACGAACGCUGGCGGCGUGCCUAACACAUGCAAGUCAGGGAGAAAAGGGUAGCAAUACCCCUAGUAAACCGGCAAACGGGUGAGUAAUACGUAGGCAAUCUACCUCAAAGACUGGGAUAACCUCGCGAAAGUGGGGCUAAUACCGGAUAAUUCAAGAUGCUCGCAUGGGUGUCUUGUAAAAGUUAUGAUGAUUUAUCAUGAUAACGCUCUGAGAUGAGCCUACGGUCGAUUAGCUAGUUGGUGAGGUAAUGGCUCACCAAGGCGACAAUCGAUAGCCGGCCUGAGAGGGUGAUCGGCCACACUGGGACUGAGAUACGGCCCAGACUCCUACGGGAGGCAGCAGUGAGGAAUAUUGGUCAAUGGACGAAAGUCUGAACCAGCAACGCCGCGUGAGGGAUGAAGCAUCAAGGUGCGUAAACCUCUGUUAGAAGGGACGAAUAGUUCCGAUUGUAUCGGGAUUUGACGGUACCUUCAGAGAAAGCCCCGGCUAACU